Molecule: non-coding RNA, 3278 nt
Organism: Sus scrofa (pig)
Lineage: Eukaryota; Metazoa; Chordata; Mammalia; Artiodactyla; Suidae
Source: RefSeq, a predicted model, not a curated record
CCCUCCCCAGUGGACGGAGGCAGGAAGGCUCCAGGCGCGCUCUCCCCUCUGACCACCUACGGAAUGACCUCAGAGUGGGAGAAUGUGCCAAGGCCCCGAGGAAGCUCGCGUUCUCCCCACUGCAACCAAAUUCACAUCUGGAGCCGCGCCUUCGGCCCGGGGGCGCGCGGGGCGGUUCCAGUUUGAGAGGGGUUAGGAAAGAAAGACUGAAGGAAAAAAAGAAAGAAAGAAAAAAGUGGCAGCUUGCUUUCUAUUUGACAGUGUCUGUCCCUCUCCCUCUCUCUCCCUCCCUCUCUCUCUCUCUCUCUCUCUCUCUCUGUCUCUCUGGUAGUCUCCCCAAAGCUCUCUCGCUCUUUCUCCGCCCUGCGCUCCCCUUUGCUGCGCGAGUCGCCCUGCAGGACCAUUCACGUCUCCCAUCACCCCCGAAGCCUCCCGCAGGGAGAGGAGGAGCUGCCGCCAAGAGGCCCUCACCCCAGGCUCCAAGAGGCGGACGCGAGCCAGUCCCAGGAGCCUGCUGGGCUGUGGGUCCUGGUGUCGCGCGACGCGAAGGUUUAGGGGACACUCCAGGGCGCGGGGGCCGCGAAGGGCCGCGAUGGGGGUGGAGGAAAUGGGAGGCUGUGGAGGCGUGUUACCGGGGGGAAAGGCACCUUCACCUCCUAGGGAUGUUUUCUCGGCCUCCCCGGGGAAGAGUCUGGAGCUCUGAGGUGGGGGAACGCUGUGUCGCCCCCGCCCCACCGUCCCCAUCCCCCCGGCGCCCCCCGUCCAAGUCCAAGGAAGAGCAAUUUGAUGCGUGGUUUAGAUUCAAUCCUCCAAGCCAGUUGCCAGAGCUCCCCCUAGCGCCGCUUGGAGGGCGCUGCAGCGGCUGCGGCUGGGAGUGGGCGAGGCGCAGCCGGGGGCGGUGGGGCUGCUGGGGGCGGCUUAGAGCCCACCUGGGGCGCAGCGCAGCGUCGGGAUCCAGCCCUGGCUGGAGCGGGAGCCCGGGGGCUGCGUGCAUCCCCACUGCAGACCCGCGUCGAGGAUGGGGCACGUGGUCCGCCGCCUUUGUUGGGAGCGAGGACCUGGGCAAGGGAAGGGACCAGGCAAGCGGCUUGGGAACUCCCACCCGUCCCUAUGGCAAAGAAGGGUGGGUGGUGGCCUGCGAAAUUAGAGCUCUGAGCCCAACAGGACCCCGGUCCAGGGUUCUCCUCUCUUCUGCCAGGUUUUCCGAGCUUCGGCUGCACCAAGAGACCUCAGGCACGUUGGGAUCUAGGGAAACCGUGGGGUGGGGUUGGAGGGCUCUGGGAGCACCCAGAAGAGAGGUGCCCUCUGCCCAACUAUCUUUUCAGGACCCAGGGACCUCGGGCAGCCACACAAAGGGUUAAUGCCCUGAGCAGAAUGCACAGCGACCCAAAACACAAUCCCCUGGCCAUCUACCUCUGAGAUGUUCCCCACAAAAUAGUGACACAAGCACGGUCCUGACGUUAGAGUGCACACCACAAUGAGGACCACACCGGGCCAAACACACUGUCCCCAACACAAGACGCUGCAAGUAGCAUCCUCACUCCACUCAAUGCCACGCCCCCUUCCCUGGAGAAUGGCAGAGCAAAGCGUGCCCUCCCGGAACAGGGAACAGCCGGAGAGACUGAAAGGCUGGGGAGGUGGGGGGCUAUGAGGAUCUUGGGAAAAGGGGGAGGGGCCUGUCCGCAGGCAUACCGGGAGCCCACAGACCCAGGUCCUGUGUCCCAGGGCCCUCCGUCCCCAUCCCAUGGUUUCACGAGAUCCCAACGUGCCUGAGGUCUCUUGACACACAGACAACCUGGCAGAGGAGAGGAGAGCCCUGCAUUGGGGUCCUGUUGAGUUUCAGAUAAGCCCCAGCUCUUUCCAGAAAAAAGGCUAAGCCAGACCCCCACAAGAGCCCCUAGGCAGGACUUAGGGUGAGGGGCUCCUUGAGGAGGUAGGGAGAUGGGAAGAGACUGAGGGACUUGGAAGUGAUGAGGCAGAGCUUUCAGAGAACAGCAUUCUGGAAGCGAGAGCUCCAGCAAGCCCCUGGUCCCUUCAGGUUAACCAGCACAGACACACACACACACACACACACACACACACACACUUCCCUCAGGCUCCUAGAACACCGCAGGUCCCGCUGCCCUUGAUACGUGGUGUAGGGCUGAGCCAGGCCCCAAGCUGCCUUCCCAGCAACACAGAGAUGCUGGAAUGACAGCCAAGAGCCUCACAGAGCUGCAGGCUGCCUUCGAGAGAGGCCAGGGCCUGGGGAUGCCCUGGACUCCCCGGAGGGCCACUGUCUAGAACACUGAGGUCUGAGUGCGUCUAUGGGAUGUGUGUGUGUGCGUGUGUGUGUGUGUGUGUGUGUGUUCAUGGGCUUCCGCUGGUGCAGGGCAUGUCUUUCUGCAGCUCCAUGCACAGACACACAUUUGCAGGGUGCCUACUUGGUGCCUAGCCCGUGCAAAGCCGUGAGCUGAGCACUGCAAAAAAGAACAGCAAAUAAAAGGACCCCAAAUCCCUCUGUAUGUAUUCACCCACUUAAUUUUCCUCUCAGAGCUCUAUACUAUUAGCAUCCCUGUUUUAGAAACAAGAAAGCUCGCCCGAAGUCAUGUGACGAAGAAGCGGCGGGUCGUACGGUUGGAGUUCACAGUCUAGUGGAGAAAAAUUCAUAACAUACUACAAUACGGGCUGGCAGAUGACCCUGACGCUAUCUAAAUAGUACCAUUGGCUUCUUCCAGCUCCAACCCGCCAGUGAGUUCCUGUGUUUAGCCUUCGCAUUUGCUGUUCUGUCCACCCGGAAUGCUCAUCCACCUUUGUUUGUCCAGCUAAUACGGAAAGGUCCUCUACCAACUCGCUCCACUCAACAAAAUCGAUGACCUACAAAAUAAGAAGAAGCACCUUCUUCCAGAGAGACCCACACAAGAUCUUUUCACUCUGGGGCUGGGGAAGGAGGGCGGAGGACAUGCCCUAUAAACUUUGUUGGAGUUUUUCGUGUCUUUCCAUAAAUUGGUACUUGUGUUUGCAAAAGAGGUUCUUCUGCAGGAAAAUGUCUGGGUAUCUUGAGGGCCUGGCUCUGCCUGAGAGUCAACAUUUACUCAGGGCUUGUUGAACAGUUUCAUUCAGGACACGGGCUUGGUGAUGGAAUGAAUGAAGGGAUGGAUGCCUGCCUGAAUGAACCAACCAUCUGUCCUCCAGAAAGUGGGUUAAAGGGAAAACAGCAGGGAAAGAGAUUGUUGGCCCGCACCCCCCCCCAUCAGCCCUUUCCCCACCCCAACCCCCUGGGUCACCUCCCCUUGACC